AGAGUUUGAUCAUGGCUCAGGACGAACGCUGGCGGCGUGCUUACACACGCAAGUCGAACGGAAAGGCCCUGCUUGUGGGGGUGCUCGAGUGGCGAACGGGUGAGUAACACGUGAGUAACUGCCCUGACUUGGGAUACUCAGGAAACUGGGGCUAAUACCGGAUAGGAGCUCUGCUGCAUGGUGGGGGUUGGAAAGUUUAGGCGGUUGGGGAUGGACUCGCGGCUUAUCAGCUUGUUGGUGGGGUAGUGGCUUACCAAGGCUUUGACGGGUAGCCGGCCUGAGAGGGUGACCGGCCACAUUGGGACUGAGAUACGGCCCAGACUCCUACGGGAGGCAGCAGUGGGGAAUAUUGCACAACGGGCGGAGGCCUGAUGCAGCAACGCCGCGUGCGGGAUGACGGCCUUCGGGUUGUAAACCGCUUUCGCCUGUGACGAAGCGUGAGUGACGGUAAUGGGUAAAGAAGCACCGGCUAACUACGUGCCAGCAGCCGCGGUGAUACGUAGGGUGCGAGCGUUGUCCGGAUUUAUUGGGCGUAAAGGGCUCGUAGGUGGUUGAUCGCGUCGGAAGUGUAAUCUUGGGGCUUAACCCUGAGCGUGCUUUCGAUACGGGUUGACUUGAGGAAGGUAGGGGAGAAUGGAAUUCCUGGUGGAGCGGUGGAAUGCGCAGAUAUCAGGAGGAACACCAGUGGCGAAGGCGGUUCUCUGGGCCUUUCCUGACGCUGAGGAGCGAAAGCGUGGGGAGCGAACAGGCUUAGAUACCCUGGUAGUCCACGCUGUAAACGGUGGGUACUAGGUGUGGGGUCCAUUCCACGGGUUCCGUGCCGUAGCUAACGCUUUAAGUACCCCGCCUGGGGAGUACGGCCGCAAGGCUAAAACUCAAAGGAAUUGACGG
RNAcentral lists this ribosomal RNA (891 nucleotides) under uncultured bacterium. Its description in RNAcentral is "bacterial SSU rRNA". It matches the Rfam family "Bacterial small subunit ribosomal RNA", at positions 8 to 916 of the family's 1533-position model. The record is from RNAcentral.